AAUAGAGGUACAAAUGCCUUCAAAGGCCU
Molecule: non-coding RNA, 29 nt
Filed under: Bombyx mori (domestic silkworm)
Lineage: Eukaryota; Metazoa; Arthropoda; Insecta; Lepidoptera; Bombycidae
Source: RNAcentral